Molecule: ribosomal RNA, 253 nt
Filed under: uncultured bacterium
Lineage: Bacteria
Description: partial 16S ribosomal RNA
Rfam family: Bacterial small subunit ribosomal RNA
Source: RNAcentral
UACGGAGGGAGCUAGCGUUGUUCGGAAUUACUGGGCGUAAAGCGCACGUAGGCGGCUUUGUAAGUUAGAGGUGAAAGCCUGGAGCUCAACUCCAGAAUUGCCUUUAAGACUGCAUCGCUUGAACGUCGGAGAGGUAAGUGGAAUUCCGAGUGUAGAGGUGAAAUUCGUAGAUAUUCGGAAGAACACCAGUGGCGAAGGCGACUUACUGGACGACUGUUGACGCUGAGGUGCGAAAGCGUGGGGAGCAAACAGG